Molecule: long non-coding RNA, 1186 nt
Organism: Adelges cooleyi (spruce gall adelgid)
Lineage: Eukaryota; Metazoa; Arthropoda; Insecta; Hemiptera; Adelgidae
Exons: 6
Source: RefSeq, a predicted model, not a curated record
AAUAUAUUGUUUACAAUUUACAAAUUAUAUAUAAAAAUGUAUUAAUAAUACACAAUACACAUAUUAUAAAUUAUUAUACGUAUAUUAAAAUAUAAGUAUCUUUUAAGUAGUGUUUAUUAGGAUUAUGAUUUUUAAAAUUGGUUAUUUAGUCGAUAAUCCGAGAUUAGACUGUGAAUUGAGAAUUCGAUCGUUAAUAGAAGAAAAUAUGAACGUCGUUCGAGCAGCAAAUUUAUCAAACCUAAUUUUUAUUUAUUUCACCCUUUGCCAUGAUUUCCGUGUCCUCUGUUUUGGUAGUGGACAUAAAAAUUCAGAACGGAAUUAUUAUGAAGAAACGAUUGACGUCAUUACGCUUUAAUAGCAUUUACCCAAUUUUGCAAUGAUAACACAACAUUAAUUUCACAAAGUUAUACAUUUAUAAGCAUCAAUGCAGAGCUGAGAAGAGAGUUCAAUUCAUGGAAGUAAUAUUGUCAGGGGGAUAAAGAACGAGGCAAAAAACCCUAUUAUAAAUUAUGUGUCUGUCAAUCAAAUAUAGCUAUAGCUUAACAUAGACAAGAAGACAAAUGGGCUAGCGGAUAAGACAGCACUCUAGUGUACACUGUUGCUGGUUCAGCAAUUUGAUGCCAGGCGACUCCGUUUACUGGGCUGGGAAUUGUCCUGUUAUUAGGGUUAACAUCUUCUUAACAGACAACAGACUAAUCACCCUUUCUGGCAUUUAAAUGAAAAUUCCUGGUGCGAUAUGAGUUGCCGAGAAGAAUAAAGGUAUUUUCAACAUAAUGAUAGACAUGAACAUUUUACCAAAAUACGGAGUCAUAUUUCAAAACAUUAAUUUGUUAUGUUCAGAAGCAGCCGAUUCUACAAAUACUAUAAAAGUUGAUAUUGAUAAAAAGGCCGCUGUACCAAGUAUGUUCGUGCAAAAUAUUUGUCAGGAUUGUUCUUCAGAAAUCUAUCGGACUAUUUGUGUAUUACAGAAAUUAUUAAAGUCUAGUACCUGUUAAAAAUUUGCAAAGAUGCAUGUUAUUAGAGAAAAAAAAAUUCUUAUUAUAAUAAUUUUUAUUCUUAUUUGUUUUAAUAAUUUAAACUUCACGUACAAUGUCAACCAAAAACAUUGUUUUUCGAUUGAAGGAUGAACUUGUUGUUGUGUGUUAAAUUUAUUUAAUUUAUAAAUAUUUUAAUUAUUUUUGUAGUA